AUGAAGGCCUGCGGGUUGUAAAGCUCUUUCGGUGGGUUAGAAAAGGCCCGAGCUAAUACCUCGGGGUCUUGACAUAUCCCUGCCAACAACCACCGGCUAACUCUGUGCCAGCAGCCGCGGUAAUACAGAGGGUGCGAGCGUUAAUCGGAAUUACUGGGCGUAAAGCGGGCGUAAGCCGCUUUGCAAGUCCGGUGUGAAAUCCCCGGGCUUAACCUGGGAACUGCAUUCGAGACUGCUGUGCUUGAGUGUGGGAGAGGGAAGUGGAAUUUCCUGUGUAGCAGUGAAAUGGGUAAAUAUCGGAAGGAACAUCAGUGGCGAAAGCGACUUCCUGGACCAAUACUGACGCUCAUGUGCAAAAGCCUGGGGAGCAAACACGAUUAAAUACCCUGGUAGUCCACGCCAUAAACGAUGAGAACUGGAUGUCGGGAGGGUCUGCCUCUCGGUGUCGGAGCUAACCCGUUAAGUUCUCCGCCCGGGGAGGACGGCCCCGAGGUUAAAACUCAGAGG
RNAcentral lists this ribosomal RNA (507 nucleotides) under uncultured Steroidobacter sp. Its description in RNAcentral is "bacterial SSU rRNA". It matches the Rfam family "Bacterial small subunit ribosomal RNA", at positions 408 to 907 of the family's 1533-position model. Lineage: Bacteria; Pseudomonadati; Pseudomonadota; Gammaproteobacteria; Steroidobacterales; Steroidobacteraceae. The record is from RNAcentral.